Molecule: ribosomal RNA, 492 nt
Filed under: uncultured bacterium
Lineage: Bacteria
Description: bacterial SSU rRNA
Rfam family: Bacterial small subunit ribosomal RNA
Source: RNAcentral
GAUGAACGCUAGCGACAGGCUUAACACAUGCAAGUCGAGGGCAGCGCGGGAGUCAGCUUGCUGACUUCUGGCGGCGACCGGCGCACGGGUGAGUAACACGUAUGCAACCUGCCCGCCACAGGGGGAUAACCGGGAGAAAUCCCGACUAAUACCGCGUAGUCCGGAUGGAGGCAUCUCCGUACGGGGAAAGGAGCGAUCCGGUGGCGGAUGGGCAUGCGGCGCAUUAGCUAGUCGGCGGGGUAACGGCCCACCGAGGCGACGAUGCGUAGGGGUUCUGAGAGGAAGGUCCCCCACAUUGGUACUGAGACACGGACCAAACUCCUACGGGAGGCAGCAGUGAGGAAUAUUGGUCAAUGGGCGAGAGCCUGAACCAGCCAAGUAGCGUGCAGGAAGACGGCCCUAUGGGUUGUAAACUGCUUUUAUAGGGGAAUAAAGUGGGUCACGUGUGACUUUUUGCAUGUACCUUAUGAAUAAGGACCGGCUAAUUCCGUG